GGAAGCGUGGCAGAGCGGCAAUGGAGCGUCUUGCUACGGCGUAGCGCCUCACGGCGUCGCGGGUUCGAUCCCCGCCGCUUCCG
RNAcentral lists this transfer RNA (83 nucleotides) under Pseudoclavibacter sp. RFBG4. Its description in RNAcentral is "tRNA-Ser". It matches the Rfam family "tRNA". From Rfam's summary of the family: Transfer RNA (tRNA) molecules are approximately 80 nucleotides in length. Lineage: Bacteria; Bacillati; Actinomycetota; Actinomycetes; Micrococcales; Microbacteriaceae. The record is from RNAcentral.